Cordylochernes scorpioides is the source of this 74-nucleotide non-coding RNA. The record is from the annotation of a GenBank genome assembly. Lineage: Eukaryota; Metazoa; Arthropoda; Arachnida; Pseudoscorpiones; Chernetidae.
UGGUUUAAGAUUCCGGGGUAAGCUGGUGUUUAUAAACUAAUACAAACACCAGCUUACCCCGGAGUUUUGGACCA